This 306-nucleotide ribosomal RNA is filed under the name uncultured bacterium. Its description in RNAcentral is "bacterial SSU rRNA". It matches the Rfam family "Bacterial small subunit ribosomal RNA", at positions 29 to 320 of the family's 1533-position model. The record is from RNAcentral.
AGCGAACGUUAGCGGCGCGCUUAACACAUGCAAGUCGCACGAGAAAGGGCCUCGGCCCCAGUAAAGUGGCGCACGGGUGCGUAACACGUAGGCAAUCUUCCCUUGAGCGGGGGAUAACGUUUCGAAAGAGACGCUAAUACCGCAUAAGACCACGACCGGUUCGCCGGUUGCGGUCAAAGCUGGCCUCUUCAUGAAAGCUAGCACUUAAGGACGAGCCUGCGGCCCAUCAUGCAGUUGGUAGGGUAACGGCCUACCAAGGCGAAGACGGGUAGCUGGUCUGAGAGGAUGAUCAGCCACACUGGAACU